RNAcentral lists this non-coding RNA (183 nucleotides) under Calditrichia bacterium. Its description in RNAcentral is "6S RNA". It matches the Rfam family "6S / SsrS RNA". From Rfam's summary of the family: E. coli 6S RNA was the first non coding RNA to be sequenced, but its function was unknown until recently. It consists of 184 nucleotides that fold into an extended hairpin structure with a large single-stranded internal bulge. The record is from RNAcentral. Lineage: Bacteria; Pseudomonadati; Calditrichota; Calditrichia.
UAAGCCCUGCAUUGGUAUGGGUGUUGUAUUUGGGAAGAACCAACACCAUUAAAAAGGGAGCUUGACUCUGGGCGUCUAAUGCAGGCCUUCUCUUCGGAGAAGGAAGCGUGAACCGUUCAGGCAGGCACCCACCGUGUCGAGCACGGUUCUUUUCCAAAUCCAUCCUACCAAUGCAGGGUAUUU